This 237-nucleotide ribosomal RNA is filed under the name uncultured bacterium. RNAcentral describes it as "partial 16S ribosomal RNA". It matches the Rfam family "Bacterial small subunit ribosomal RNA", at positions 1264 to 1500 of the family's 1533-position model. The record is from RNAcentral.
GGAGCAAAACUCAAAAAAAUAAGUCUCAGUUCGGAUUGAAGGCUGAAAUUCGCCUUCAUGAAGCCGGAAUUGCUAGUAAUGGCAGGUCAGCAUACUGCCGUGAAUACGUUCCCGGGCCUUGUACACACCGCCCGUCACACCAUGAGAGUUGGGAAUACCCGAAGCCUGUGAGCUAACUUUUAGAGGCAGCAGUCGAAGGUAGAAUCAAUGAUUGGGGUGAAGUCGUAACAAGGUAUC